RNAcentral lists this ribosomal RNA (253 nucleotides) under uncultured bacterium. Its description in RNAcentral is "partial 16S ribosomal RNA". It matches the Rfam family "Bacterial small subunit ribosomal RNA", at positions 524 to 776 of the family's 1533-position model. The record is from RNAcentral.
UACAGAGGGGGCAAGCGUUGUUCGGAAUUACUGGGCGUAAAGGGCGCGUAGGCGGCCCGCUAAGUCGAACGUGAAAUCCCCGAGCUCAACUCGGGAACUGCGUCCGAUACUGGCGGGCUUGAAUCCGGGAGAGGGAUGCGGAAUUCCAGGUGUAGCGGUGAAAUGCGUAGAUAUCUGGAGGAACACCGGUGGCGAAGGCGGCAUCCUGGACCGGCAUUGACGCUGAGACGCGAAAGCUAGGGGAGCAAACGGG